Molecule: long non-coding RNA, 468 nt
Filed under: Solanum tuberosum (potato)
Lineage: Eukaryota; Viridiplantae; Streptophyta; Magnoliopsida; Solanales; Solanaceae
Description: long non-coding RNA (STUB_LNC005462)
Source: RNAcentral
GUGAAGUUGAAAGUGAUUCAUACAGACAUGAUACCAAAUAUAAUAUAAGACAUAGGCAAUAUAAUUAUCUUCUCAAAAAAUACUGUCAAUAUAACUAUUUCAUUAAGUUGGAGUUUUUUAAAAAAAUAAUCACAAAAUUGCCAUAGACUCUAUCUAACCCAUUGUAGACGUCACUGGCUCCUUGUUAUUGCAAUUGGAAAGAUGAGGUCCUCUGACACUUGAUAUAUUAACCAACAUUCAAAUCAUUUUUCAAUUUCAUGCGUGUUAUAACAAAUAAACAAUAGAACCUAACUGUUUUUAUACUAUCAAUUUCUCCACAGCAACACCAGAUUAGUAGGUAACUUCAGCCACCUUCUCAACUUUCCUUUAUGUUGAUUGUUGUGUGGAUACUUUCUAGUCCUCUUCGCAUUAUCCUUAUUAAAUCUAAAAACCUUAUCCCAUGUGAGGAAAAUAUGAUCCCUCCAUUUU